GAUGAACGCUGGCGGCGUGCCUAAUACAUGCAAGUCGAGCGAACGGACGAGAAGCUUGCUUCUCUGAUGUUAGCGGCGGACGGGUGAGUAACACGUGGAUAACCUACCUAUAAGACUGGGAUAACUUCGGGAAACCGGAGCUAAUACCGGAUAAUAUUUUGAACCGCAUGGUUCAAAAGUGAAAGACGGUCUUGCUGUCACUUAUAGAUGGAUCCGCGCUGCAUUAGCUAGUUGGUAAGGUAACGGCUUACCAAGGCAACGAUGCAUAGCCGACCUGAGAGGGUGAUCGGCCACACUGGAACUGAGACACGGUCCAGACUCCUACGGGAGGCAGCAGUAGGGAAUCUUCCGCAAUGGGCGAAAGCCUGACGGAGCAACGCCGCGUGAGUGAUGAAGGUCUUCGGAUCGUAAAACUCUGUUAUAGGGGAGAACAUAUGUGUAAGUAACUGUGCACAUCUUGACGGUACCUAAUCAGAAGGCCACGGCUAACUACGUG
RNAcentral lists this ribosomal RNA (496 nucleotides) under uncultured bacterium. Its description in RNAcentral is "partial 16S ribosomal RNA". It matches the Rfam family "Bacterial small subunit ribosomal RNA", at positions 28 to 507 of the family's 1533-position model. The record is from RNAcentral.